RNAcentral lists this ribosomal RNA (490 nucleotides) under uncultured bacterium. RNAcentral's name for it is "partial 16S ribosomal RNA". It matches the Rfam family "Bacterial small subunit ribosomal RNA", at positions 29 to 507 of the family's 1533-position model. The record is from RNAcentral.
AUGCACGCUGGCUACAGGCUUAACCCAUGCAAGUCGAGGGGAAACGACGGGGAAGCUUGCUUCCCCGGGCGUCGACCGGCGCACGGGUGAGUAACGCGUAUCCAACCUGCCUCUGACUGAGGGAUAACCCGUCGAAAGUCGGCCUAAUACCUCAUGGUAUCGUCUGCGGGCAUCCAACGACGAUUAAAGAUUUCAUCGGUCAGGGAUGGGGAUGCGUCUGAUUAGCUUGUUGGCGGGGUAACGGCCCACCAAGGCUACGAUCAGUAGGGGUUCUGAGAGGAAGGUCCCCCACAUUGGAACUGAGACACGGUCCAAACUCAUACGGGAGGCAGCAGUGAGGAAUAUUGGUAAAUGGGCGAGAGCCUGAACCAGCCAAGUAGCGUGCAGGAAGACGGCCCUAUGGGUUGUAAACUGCUUUUAUGCGGGGAUAAAGUGAGGGACGUGUCCCUCAUUGCAGGUACCGCAUGAAUAAGGACCGGCUAAUUCCGUG